Molecule: transfer RNA, 79 nt
Filed under: Gammaproteobacteria bacterium
Lineage: Bacteria; Pseudomonadati; Pseudomonadota; Gammaproteobacteria
Description: tRNA-Ile
Rfam family: tRNA (bases 8-76)
About the family: Transfer RNA (tRNA) molecules are approximately 80 nucleotides in length. Their secondary structure includes four short double-helical elements and three loops (D, anti-codon, and T loops).
Source: RNAcentral
GGAUGCUAUGCUUGGUUCAGAUGGUUAGAACGACUGCCUGAUAAGCAGUAGGUCGUGGGUUCGAUUCCCACAGCAUUUU